Molecule: long non-coding RNA, 479 nt
Organism: Pelmatolapia mariae (spotted tilapia)
Lineage: Eukaryota; Metazoa; Chordata; Actinopteri; Cichliformes; Cichlidae
Exons: 3
Source: RefSeq, a predicted model, not a curated record
CAGUUCACGGUAAUACCAGUAUAAUGUUAGGCAAUGAUAAGCAAAUGAAAUAUCGCGAUAGACUAUGGGUAAAACGCGCAUGCGCAGUGCCUUUGUUUUCAUACGCACAUGGCAGAAAAAGUAAGGCAGCGACGGAGAAUGAGAAGGGUGAAAGCGGAUCGUUGAAUGAAACGGAUGAACCAGAAUUGGAUGAUCCCACACUGCUUCAAUAAUGUUACUGGGGAGGCCAAACCAUGACUCAUAAUGUUCAACUGUAUGUUUCCAAUCCAGUUUUCACAAGAUCAACACCACUGGCUGAAAUGCAGCCUCAAGCCAUGACAGAGCCUCCACCUCUUUUAGAAGAGACACCCACUGUUGUACCUCUCUCUGGAUCUCCUCCAUACAUAUCGACGAUGAUUUGAACCAAACAUUUCAAAUUUGGAUUUGUCACUUCAUAAAAAUUGUUAGCACUGAUUUUCUGUGCAGUUCUUGUGUAUUUU